AUUGAACGCUGGCGGCAUGCCUUACACAUGCAAGUCGAACGGCAGCACGGGUGCUUGCACCUGGUGGCGAGUGGCGAACGGGUGAGUAAUACAUCGGAACAUGUCCUGUAGUGGGGGAUAGCCCGGCGAAAGCCGGAUUAAUACCGCAUACGAUCUACGGAUGAAAGCGGGGGACCUUCGGGCCUCGCGCUAUAGGGUUGGCCGAUGGCUGAUUAGCUAGUUGGUGGGGUAAAGGCCUACCAAGGCGACGAUCAGUAGCUGGUCUGAGAGGGCGACCAGCCAAACUGGGACUGAGAACCGGCCCAAGACUCCACGGGAGGGAGCAGUUGGGAAUUUUUGACCAUUGGCGAAAGCCUGAACCAGCAAUGCCGCGUUGUGGAAGAAGGGCUUCGGGUUUGUAAGGACUUUUGGUCGGAAAGAAAUCCUUGGCCCUAAUACGGUCGGGGGAUGACGGUACCGGAAGAAUAAGCACCGGCUAACUACGUG
Molecule: ribosomal RNA, 486 nt
Filed under: uncultured bacterium
Lineage: Bacteria
Description: partial 16S ribosomal RNA
Rfam family: Bacterial small subunit ribosomal RNA
Source: RNAcentral